CUUUACAAUGCGGGAAACCGUGAUAAGGGAACCCCGAGUGCCCGUAAAUUCGGGCUGUUCACCAGUGCAAACAGCUGGUGGAGAAAGGGCCGGGCAAGACCGGUGCCAGCCGCCGCGGUAAUACCGGCGGCUCGAGUGGUGGCCACUAUUACUGGGCUUAAAGCGUCCGUAGCUGGGUUGUUAAGUCUCUGGGGAAAUCUUCCGGNUUAACCGGAAGGCGUCUCAGGGAUACUGGCAAUCUAGGGGAUCGGAAGAGGUUGAGGGGUACUCCAGGGGGUAGAGUGAAAUCCUGUAAUCCUUGGGGGGACCACUGU
Molecule: ribosomal RNA, 314 nt
Filed under: uncultured archaeon
Lineage: Archaea
Description: bacterial SSU rRNA
Rfam family: Archaeal small subunit ribosomal RNA
Source: RNAcentral